This 324-nucleotide unclassified non-coding RNA is filed under the name uncultured fungus. RNAcentral describes it as "partial contains small subunit ribosomal RNA, internal transcribed spacer 1, and 5.8S ribosomal RNA". The stretch from base 1 to 73 matches the Rfam family "Eukaryotic small subunit ribosomal RNA", at positions 1759 to 1831 of the family's 1831-position model. Lineage: Eukaryota; Fungi. The record is from RNAcentral.
ACAAACUUGGUCAUUUAGAGGAAGUAAAAGUCGUAACAAGGUCUCCGUUGGUGAACCAGCGGAGGGAUCAUUACCGAGUUUGCAACUCCCAAACCCCAGUGCGAACCUCUACCUCGACGUUGCCUCGGCGGGGACUCGCCCCGGCGGCGCCCGCAGCAGCGGCGCCCCGGACCACAAGGCGCCCGCUGUAGGACCCCCCCGAAACUCUUUGCAUCAACGGUGGUUUUCUUCUGAGUGGACUCGUCCCCCCGCGAGAGCGGGUGCGAAUGAAUCAAAACUUUCAGCAACGGAUCUCUUGGCUCUGGCAUCGAUGAAGAACGCAGC